Lactuca sativa (garden lettuce) is the source of this 1351-nucleotide non-coding RNA. NCBI's taxonomy places the organism in Eukaryota, Viridiplantae, Streptophyta, Magnoliopsida, Asterales, Asteraceae. The record is from RefSeq and is a predicted model, not a curated record.
UAUAUUUAAUUUUUUUAAAAUAAACUCAUGUAAUAUAUGAGUCUCACACCUAAUAUAAAAUAUAAGCCAUAUAUGUAUAAUAAAAAAAUCUUUUAAAUUUUAGAUAAUGACAUUAACGUGAAUUGCAAUAUCUUCAGAGCUUAACUAAAAAAUCUAUCCUUUUUUUUAAUAGUAAUAUGAUCAAAUACAUCAAACAAGUUAAACAUAAAUAACAACCGCUUGUUACUACAAUAGAUAAAAAAUACUAAUAAAAUAAUAAUUUCGAAUAUAGCUUAAUAACUUUAUUUUAAAAAUAAUAUACAUUGCUAUGUUGAGUUAAAAAUAUUGCUAUAUUAUUGUUUUCUGUUGAAACUAAAAACCAAGGGGUGGCUUUUUUAUAUUUUAAAUUUUCCAAUCCAGAGCAAAAAGAAUAACAUACAUUACAAAUACAUAUUAAUGGUAACUGAUAUUUCUGAGUUAAUUAUAUGAUCUUUAGAGUAUUUAAAAACAAAGUGAUGGCCAAAGGGAAAAUUUCACGAGAAAAACUAAUUAUUCGUCGCCUUUUAUCACUAUGUCCUCUUGAUUUUAAAUGUAUUAACAAUGAUAGACAAUCAAUUAUCUAUGCACUUCAAACUAUAAUGGUCUAAAGGUAAACUAAUUGCUGAAAUAAUAUGAAACUGUUCUUCACCAGUAACAUCCCAAGUUCAGGAGUGCAAACUCAGGGUUCAAAGUGUAAAUGUGAAAGAGUAACUCAGCGAGUCCAUGGGUGGACUCGGCGAGUAGGGUCGUGAUUUUGGUCACGUUUUAAGUGGCCAACUCGGCGAGUCGGCGGCUGGACUCGGCGAGUUGGUGCUGUGUGGAGAAAACCCUAAUUUCAGAGGAUGAGCCCUAUAUAAAGGACAUUAUACCCUCUCCCCAGCCUCUUUACCCUCUCUUGAAGUCCAGAAAACCCUAGGGAGCGUUUGUGAGUGGUUUGAGAGCAUUUGAACCUUGGAGAAGAGAUUUUGGAAGAGAUCUUGGAGAGUUAAGAGGCUUUGAGCAUGGGGCUUUGCUAGGAUUUGGAUUUCUCUUCUGUUGGAGUUUCCUUUUGAGUGGUGGAGUUCGUGACGCUGGUCGGAGCAGCGUGGACUGUUCUUCAAUCGGCAGUAGCAGGUUUUCUCUGGAUCAUGGGACGGCACCGGCUCGAUUGUACACACCAGAGGAAGCGGUUGUUUUGAAGAUCCUAGUUUAUUAAUUGAUUGAACAAAGAGUCAUGUAUUGUAAUUUAUACAAAAUGGGAUUUUUAUGAAAAGUAUUAAGGAGAAAAGUAAUUUUAAUUCAAAAAAAUUUGUUUUGAAAAAUUUCGGCGUUACAUCACCCCUCUCUAUAUAAG